GAGAGCGCCUGGACUGCUCUAGGGCAGUUGACGAGGACCCGGUUUAUCGAAAGAUUCGGCGGAUGACCGGGAGGCUUGAUACGGCCUUUAACCAAUGGGAAAAAACAGUUCGUGAGGGCUGAACAGAU
RNAcentral lists this non-coding RNA (128 nucleotides) under uncultured Anaerobutyricum sp. Its description in RNAcentral is "glmS glucosamine-6-phosphate activated ribozyme". It matches the Rfam family "glmS glucosamine-6-phosphate activated ribozyme aptamer", at positions 10 to 149 of the family's 167-position model. Rfam says of the family: This entry contains a glucosamine-6-phosphate activated ribozyme that is found in the mRNA for GlmS. GlmS is an enzyme that uses fructose-6-phosphate and glutamine to generate glucosamine-6-phosphate. The ribozyme catalyses self cleavage of the glmS mRNA that is thought to regulate GlmS activity. The record is from RNAcentral. Lineage: Bacteria; Bacillati; Bacillota; Clostridia; Lachnospirales; Lachnospiraceae.